GACGAACGCUGGCGGCGUGCCUAAUACAUGCAAGUCGAACGCAGUGGGGACGGGUGAGUAACACGUGGGUAACCUCCCAUCAGAGGGGAUAAAACUUGGAAACAGGUGCUAAACUGAUACUGAUGGAUGGACCCGCGGUGCAUUAGCUAGUGGGUGGGGUAACGGCUCACCUAGGCCACGAUGCAUAGCCGGCCUGAGAGGAUGAUCGGCCACACUGGGACUGAGACACGGCCCAGACUCCUACGGGAGGCAGCAGUAGGGAAUAUUCGGCAAUGGGCGAAAGUCUGACCGAGCAACGCCGCGUGAAUGAAGAAGGUUUUCGGGUCGUAAAGCUCUGUUGUCAGAGAGGCGGUAUCUAACCAGAAAGCCACGGCUAACUACGUGCCAGCAGCCGCGGUAAUAC
RNAcentral lists this ribosomal RNA (403 nucleotides) under uncultured bacterium. Its description in RNAcentral is "partial 16S ribosomal RNA". It matches the Rfam family "Bacterial small subunit ribosomal RNA", at positions 28 to 526 of the family's 1533-position model. The record is from RNAcentral.